AUGCAAGUCGAACGAGAGAUGAGGAGCUUGCUCUUCAAAUCGAGUGGCGAACGGGUGAGUAACGCGUGAGGAACCUGCCUCAAAGAGGGGGACAACAGUUGGAAACGACUGCUAAUACCGCAUAAGCCCACGGCUCGGCAUCGAGCAGAGGGAAAAGGAGCAAUCCGCUUUGAGAUGGCCUCGCGUCCGAUUAGCUAGUUGGUGAGGUAAUGGCCCACCAAGGCGACGAUCGGUAGCCGGACUGAGAGGUUGAACGGCCACAUUGGGACUGAGACACGGCCCAGGCUCCUACGGGAGGCAGCAGUGGGGAAUAUUGCACAAUGGGGGAAACCCUGAUGCAGCGACGCCGCGUGGAGGAAGAAGGUCUUCGGAUUGUAAACUCCUGUUGUUGAGGAAGAUAAUGACGGUACUCAACAAGGAAGUGACGGCUAACUACGUGCCAGCAGCCGCGGUAAAACGUAGGUCACAAGCGUUGUCCGGAAUUACUGGGUGUAAAGGGAGCGCAGGCGGGAGAACAAGUUGGAAGUGAAAUCCAUGGGCUCAACCCAUGAACUGCUUUCAAAACUGUUUUUCUUGAGUAGUGCAGAGGUAGGCGGAAUUCCCGGUGUAGCGGUGGAAUGCGUAGAUAUCGGGAGGAACACCAGUGGCGAAGGCGGCCUACUGGGCACCAACUGACGCUGAGGCUCGAAAGUGUGGGUAGCAAACAGGAUUAGAUACCCUGGUAGUCCACACCGUAAACGAUGAUUACUAGGUGUUGGAGGAUUGACCCCUUCAGUGCCGCAGUUAACACAAUAAGUAAUCCACCUGGGGAGUACGACCGCAAGGUUGAAACUCAAAGGAAUUGACGGGGGCCCGCACAAGCAGUGGAGUAUGUGGUUUAAUUCGACGCA
RNAcentral lists this ribosomal RNA (890 nucleotides) under uncultured bacterium. RNAcentral's name for it is "bacterial SSU rRNA". It matches the Rfam family "Bacterial small subunit ribosomal RNA", at positions 55 to 958 of the family's 1533-position model. The record is from RNAcentral.